AAUGGUUCUCGUUAGAUCACCGAAGUCAAGCAUCAUUGGGCGCGGUCAGUACUUGGGUGGGUGACCACCUGGGAACACCGCGUGCCGUU
Caerostris extrusa is the source of this 89-nucleotide non-coding RNA. Lineage: Eukaryota; Metazoa; Arthropoda; Arachnida; Araneae; Araneidae. The record is from the annotation of a GenBank genome assembly.